RNAcentral lists this ribosomal RNA (326 nucleotides) under uncultured bacterium. RNAcentral describes it as "bacterial SSU rRNA". It matches the Rfam family "Bacterial small subunit ribosomal RNA", at positions 29 to 369 of the family's 1533-position model. The record is from RNAcentral.
AAUGAACGUUGGCGGCGUGGAUUAGGCAUGCAAGUCGAACGCUUCAUGUAGCAAUACAUGAGGAGUGGCGUAAGGGAGAGUAAUACAUAGUUAGCUACCCUCGGGUCUGGGAUAGCGGCGGGAAACUGCCGGUAAUACCAGAUGAUAUCUUCGGAUCAAAGGUGUAAUUUCGCCCGAGGAGGUGACUGUGUCCUAUCAGCUUGUUGGCGGGGUAACGGCCCACCAAGGCUACGACGGGUAUGGGGCGUGAGAGCGUGCCCCCACUCACUGGGACGUGAGAUACUGCCCACGACACCUACGGGUGGCUGCAGUCGAGAAUCUUCGGC